UACGUAGGGUGCAAGCGUUGUCCGGAAUUAUUGGGCGUAAAGAGCUCGUAGGCGGCUUGUCACGUCGAUUGUGAAAGCCCGAGGCUUAACCUCGGGUCUGCAGUCGAUACGGGCUAGCUAGAGUGUGGUAGGGGAGAUCGGAAUUCCUGGUGUAGCGGUGAAAUGCGCAGAUAUCAGGAGGAACACCGGUGGCGAAGGCGGCCUGCUGGGCAGUUGCUGACACUGAGGCGCGACAGCGUGGGGAGCAAACAGG
Molecule: ribosomal RNA, 253 nt
Filed under: uncultured bacterium
Lineage: Bacteria
Description: partial 16S ribosomal RNA
Rfam family: Bacterial small subunit ribosomal RNA
Source: RNAcentral